AUGAACUACACGGCGUGGGCGAUGAGGAUGAAGUACCUCUUGCGCGCCAACGGCGCGUGGGCUGCCGUUGAUCGAGAGGACUCCUCCAUGGAGGUCGAAGCGGGCAAGGAGAAGAUGGCCAUGACGAUCAUCUCCCAGUCCAUCGACGACUCGACGCUGCUGCGAUUUGCGGAGAAGGAGACAGUGGCCGAUGUGUGGGCGGCGCUAUGCUCCAUGCAUGUGGGCGUCGAGCGCGUCCGAGAGGCGAGGGUUCAAUCCUUGCGCUCAGAAUUUGAUGGCCUCAAGAUGGGUGAUGCGGAGUCCGUGGAUGACUUCGCAGCAAGGUUCACGACGCUCGUGGGGCACAUCCGUGAGCUCGGUGAUUCAAUGGAGGAGAAGUACGUCGCGAAGAAGCUGUUGUGA
Molecule: ribosomal RNA, 402 nt
Filed under: Triticum aestivum (bread wheat)
Lineage: Eukaryota; Viridiplantae; Streptophyta; Magnoliopsida; Poales; Poaceae
Description: partial small subunit ribosomal RNA
Source: RNAcentral